CCCCUAGAUGUUCUGGGCCGCACGCGCGCUACACUGAACAGUUCAACAAGUCUUAACCUUGGCCGAUAGGUCUGGGUAAUCUUUGAACGCUGUUCGUGAUUGGGAUAGACCUUUGCAAUUAUGGGUCUUCAACGAGGAAUUCCUAGUAAACGCAAGUCCUCAGCUUGCAUUGAUUACGUCCCUGCCCUUUGUACACACCGCCCGUCGCACCUACCGAUUGAAUGGUCCGGUGAAAUCUCGGGACGGCGGCUUGGUCGCUUGCGUCCGACUGCUGAAACUUGAUUAAACCAUAUCAUUUAGAGGAAGGUGAAGUCGUANCA
Molecule: ribosomal RNA, 320 nt
Filed under: uncultured eukaryote
Lineage: Eukaryota
Description: partial 18S ribosomal RNA
Rfam family: Eukaryotic small subunit ribosomal RNA
Source: RNAcentral